RNAcentral lists this non-coding RNA (27 nucleotides) under Homo sapiens (human). The record is from RNAcentral. Lineage: Eukaryota; Metazoa; Chordata; Mammalia; Primates; Hominidae.
UGCCAGGUUUGGGGAGGUGAUGCCAGU